CAAACAUUGCUCUAAAUUUACAGUCGGUUUCAAGUUUCCCGGCAACAGGAAGUUGAAAAUUCAUAUUUUUCCCGGUUUGUCCUCCUCUUCAAAACCCAUGACUUUUUCGGUGCUCUGCUGGGUGCUUCAUCGUUAACCAUUACCACACUGUUUUCUAGGAAAAUGAUUGGCAAAAUGCGAACAUUAAAAGGUGUACGAUUCUCUUCGAGGGGUUCUUCGACAGGUUAGAACACCUUGGGAAGUGUUGCUACCAAUAGUCAAAGCACGAGAGAAGAAACUCAAACUCAAUUAGCGGAAGAAGUUCCUGCAACUCUGAGGCUACUAAGGGUACUAAGAGAAAGUGAGGGCCUACAAACAUGAAAGAUAUAAGGAAUCUUCAACCUGAAACUCGUAUAGUAGUAGAUGCCAACCAAUAUGGCCAGCCUAUUGGGAAGGAAGCGUCCAAAUUGGCUAAAUUUCUCGAUACAAUUGCAAGGACUGGUUCUAUCUGUCCUUUGAAUACAAAACAUUGGAAACAUCUUUCUAAGUAUGUGUUGGAAAACAUAUUGAGAAUCGUUCAUGUGUAGGAAAAGUUUGAUCUCUAAGGUAAGGUGGAGGACUCUGACAUCCUCUCACAUGUUGGAAAACUCUGGAGGGAGUUUAAAUCAACUUUGAAAACUAGAUACUACAAAGAGAUGGUCCAAGAAGGUCGACCGGUUAGAGAAAUAUAUGAAAAAAAUCCUUUUGGUGUGCAUGAUGAUCAAUGGAAGCGGCUUGUGGAGCGAUGGGGAACACCACAAGUUGCGUAGACACAAUCAGAAAAGGCGAAAGAAUCCCGAACAAAGGUGCAUUAUGCACACACCGCUGGUAACAUAGAAUAUGUGACCCUCAAUGCACAAUUUGCUGAGAAAGAAGGCUGUGAACCCUCACGUUUGGAGCAGUUUAGAUUUCAACAUUUGGGAAAAGAUGGGUGUGAAAAAUUGAGCAGUGAGGCAGUAGAACAGGUUUAUGAUGAAGCAUGAAAGAGGGUUAAAGAAUUUAUGCCAACACCUGAGAGUUUUUUCGCGCGUCAAGAUAAUAUUGCAUUAGAAAACGAGGUGUAUACAUAAGUGUUCGGCCCUGACAAGGAUGGAAAAAUGUUGGGAUAUGGACGUGGGAUGACCAAAUCCAGGUUGUUAGUUCAGUCACCCGAUCAAGCCAUCUGCAUCGGCCAUCAGUACAUUGAUUGAAGAGAUGAGUGCUAAACAUGUCGAGCAAAUACAAACAAUUCAAGCCGAACAAGCAGUUUGAAAGAAAACUCUACUCGAGGAAGCUGAAUCUCGAUUUCGUACGGAGGCCGCAGAGUGAGAAGCUCAUUUGAUAGCUGAGGUAGAAGAAAGAUUUAUGAAAUUAAUUGAAAUUCGAGAGGCAAAGUUCAUGGAUAUGAUGGAUGCUCGUGAGAAAAAGUAUAGGGCUCUCCUCAACGAGUGUAUGGCAAAGGGAAUGUCAAGUAAGUACAAGGUUCGUCAUAGUAUGCAUAGUAAGGUGACUAUUUUAUAACUAGAUUGUUAAUAAGUUUGUUAAUGGUUUAAUAGACAUUGAUUGUUGUAACUGAAUGCUAGGUUCUUAUUUAAUGUCUUCAUUGCUUGCUCAACUAAUAAUUAGUGGAUGUACUAAUGAAAAUUCUUUAUUUAACUUCAAUUUAUGGUUAUUUGGUUAAUACUAAAAUAUUCUUCCCAUGUGUUCAUGUUGUUUCUCAUCUAACUCGUAUAAAUAGAAAAUGUACAUUGCUAUUUUUGCAGUUGAAUUUCAGAGUAGCAGACUUGAUGAUAAAGCCUUCAGUUCGGAUGAUGAUGAAUGAGGCUUACUGCAUAUUAUGUAUUAUAUAUAUGUUAUAGUGGUUGAUGAAUGUAGUUGUCCCAAAAUUUUUUGAUUUCAUGGGAAACAAGUUGGCAUCAUGUUUGCAACGUGUUAACUGCUUCUAUUAGGAUUUUGUAUAAUUUUUGGAUGUCAUGUGAAAUAGGUCGACAACAUGCUCGCAACUUGUUGACUGCUUCUAUUAGGAUUUUGUAUAUAAAUUACU
Gossypium raimondii (Peruvian cotton) is the source of this 2041-nucleotide long non-coding RNA. RefSeq lists it as uncharacterized. Lineage: Eukaryota; Viridiplantae; Streptophyta; Magnoliopsida; Malvales; Malvaceae. The record is from RefSeq and is a predicted model, not a curated record. The transcript is spliced from 6 exons.